RNAcentral lists this non-coding RNA (23 nucleotides) under Xenopus tropicalis (tropical clawed frog). The record is from RNAcentral. Lineage: Eukaryota; Metazoa; Chordata; Amphibia; Anura; Pipidae. RNAcentral also lists the same sequence under 4 other names.
UGGUCUAGUGGUUAGGAUUCGGC